Callithrix jacchus (white-tufted-ear marmoset) is the source of this 2348-nucleotide long non-coding RNA. The record is from Ensembl. NCBI's taxonomy places the organism in Eukaryota, Metazoa, Chordata, Mammalia, Primates, Cebidae.
UCUUUGAUCCCCGCCUUUCCUCCUAAUAGACAAACUGCUGCCAAAGCUUCCAGCUUCUUUCUCCCUGGUGACCAAGCCCCUCAUUUCCAUUUAAUCUCAGCCUCCACCUCCCCUGAACCCCACCCCCUCCUUCCUGUGAAGCUGGUUAUUUCCCUUCUCUUCUCUCAUUUCUUUCCCCUUCCCCCAGUAGUUCACAAUCCUCCUCAAAGUUUAGGCGUAAAUAUCAACGUGUCAUGGUUCCUUCCUUUCUCCCUGACCUGCCUCUUCCUACUCUCUACCCCUUUUCUCUGCUGGCUCCCAAAUCUUUGCUCUUCUUGGCUCUUUAAACACAUUCCUCUUAGUUUUCCCUCAAGUUUCCUUUCCUGCUCCAGCCUCUGGCCCAGGAGAGGUGAAGAUGCAGAGGAGGGAGGCAGGGGGAAGGAGUGGAGGGAAGUAGCCCUCCCUCCACUCCUUCCCCUCCCUGCCCUCCUUCCUCUCCCUCCUCUCCCUCCCCUCCCUCCUCCUCUGUCUCCAGGCUCUGCCUACACUCGGUUUCCCGUGGGAGAAGAUGAAUCUGCAGCAUCAGCCCCUGCCCGUCUCCCACAACCAGGGUGGCUAAGCCCUCAGAGCUCUGCGGGACAAUCCUUCUCUGCUGCUGCUGCUGCUGGAGCCUUCUCAGGGUGUCCUCUGUUGGCAGGCAGUCUUCGCACACAGUCAGAAAACGCAGAAGACUGGAGCGCAGGCGGCAGGGGUUCUUGCACUGUUGGCUGUUGAGUCCUUGCCACCCCCGGCUGUGUGACCCUUGGAGAGAGCUGUGCCUUGGGACCAGGGUGAGGCCUCGCUUGCAGGGUGGUGCUGGUGGGUUGGCGCCUGCAUGGCUGAAGAGGGGGUGCUUCCUGAAAUUCCGUUUCAUGCCAGGACUGGCUCUGCUCGGUUGGCUCACCUGUGGAUAGAGAGGGUCUCUGAGGCUUCGUUCAGAGUGAAUAUCUGAAUUUAAUGACCCUGUGGUCCAAGAGCUCAGGCAUCAGACACAGACUUUCCAGGGAAGCUCUGAGGAUCCCCGAUAUUCUCCUAGGAUAUUCCUAUCAUACCCUUGAGCACUGGCUCCAGUGGUACCCUCUCUAGGGCGAGGCCUCCCCUGACUUCUUUAGGCAGAGACGGGCUGUCUUCCUUGUACUCCUUUUGUAGGUAGGUACAUGCCUUAAUAGACAGAUAGAUGUAGAUAUAUUGAUAUAUGUGUAAUCACACUGUAAUAAUUUAUUUAUCAACUCCAUCCCUAGAAGGCAAAGCCCUUGAGCUCCAUAGACAAGGGGAAGGAGUAAGGCCCUGUAAGUGUCAUGGCCAAUCUCAGUAUCUACCUGCUCCCCUAUUCCUGCUUUUCCUAGCAAGUGCCUGAAACACAGUAUGUGUCAAAUGAAUGAAAGAAUGCAUGAAUAAAAAAUAAAGUGGCAGAAGAUGAUGAAGGUUUGGCCACACAGUUGACCUAGAAACCUGGCUUUGCCCUUGACUUCCUAUUGUAUCCCUUAUUCUGCAAUUACCCCAUGGUAGUCCUAGCUCAUCUCCUUCCUGAGUGAUCAUCAAACUCAUCUGCUGCUCCUCCUUUCCCUCAAGAGGCAGCCCUGCUAAGGGGGAACAGCAGAGACCAUGGGAUCAAGAAGACCUCAGUUCCAGUCCUGGUGCCAAUGCUUAACCCGGCUAGGAGAACCUAGCCAAGCCUCAGUUUCCAUCUUUUUUGUUUGUUUGUUUGUUUUUGACAGCACAUAGACACCCAAGCUAGACUGCUUGGGUUUUAAUCCCGCCUCCUCUGUUUGUUAGCUGAGUGGCCCUGGGCAAGUGACUACUUAAUCUCUCUGUGCUUCAGUUUCCUCAUCCAUAAACUAGAAUUAAUAGAAUCUGCUUCAUAGUGUUGUUGUGAGGAUUAAAAGAGCUAAUACACACAAAGCCCCUAAAACAACACCUGGGACAUGGUUAGCAUUAACUAACGCAAUAAACACUAGCAAUUAUUAAUAAAAAGCAAAGGAAUUUUGCAGAACUGAAAGAAAGCACCAGAAGAGGCUGUCCCAGAAGAGGCUUUGAAAGGCAAGGAGGAAGCUUAUGGAUGAACAAGCAAAGCAUUUCCACAAGGAACACAUGCAGCCGUGCCGAGGAAUGAUUCAGCCAACUAGGUGACAAGGAAAGCUCGCUACUUCUUGGAACCUGCAGAGCCCAAGUUGGCAUUUUUUUUCCAGCAGAAUCAGAAGCAUCAAAGAGGUGAGUCUGAAGUGUCAAAGGUAGAGGAGCUUGUUGGCCUCUGGGAUCAUCAGGGUGUUUGCUUAUGAAACGUCCCCCAUGCUGGCUCCCCUGACCUCCUCAGCCUCAUUCUACCCCCU